Molecule: non-coding RNA, 765 nt
Organism: Dicentrarchus labrax (European seabass)
Lineage: Eukaryota; Metazoa; Chordata; Actinopteri; Moronidae
Source: the annotation of a RefSeq genome assembly
UAUGUUGAGGACAGCUACAGUUCACUGACUCUGUGUGUUUGCAUAUGUGUCCUUCCUCUCUGCUCCCAGCCUUUAAGAGGCCAGUGUUGAUCAGUGGCUGUCCAGGCCUUUCAGAGCCACUGACACGCCGGCAGCACAAUGAUGAUGUCACUGACUCUACUGCUGGCCACCCUGGGGCUCCUUGUUCAGGGUUCAUCAGGACAAAUCACCCUGACUCAGUCUCCUGGAUCUCAGUCUGUUGUUCCAGGACAGACUGUCUCUAUCAGAUGUACAGCCAGUUCAGAUAUUAGUAAUAGCUUCCUCUACUGGUACCUUCAGAAACCUGGAGAGGUUCCUAAUCUCCUGAUUUAUGCAACUUCAACUCGUCAGUCUGGAGUUUCAAGUCGUUUCAGUGGAAGUGGAUCUGAUUCUGACUUCACUCUGACCAUCAGUGGAGUUCAGGCUGAAGAUUCAGGAGUUUACUACUGUCAGCAAAGUCACAGCUGGCUUUUCACACAGUGAUACAACGUCGUACAAAAACCUCCCUCAGCUGGAGAGGAACUGAUCUGACUCAACAGCUGCACUGAAACUAAAACAACAGAGGUUUCAUAAAAAAAUAUAAUUAAUAAUAAUUCACUUUGAACAUUUAAACACUAAAUAUUCCAUAUCUUUAAAGCUAUACUUUUAAUGCUUUUAUUGAAACAGGCUGCUGCACAUCAAAGGUAACCUCUGUCAAGGUAUGAUUUAAAUUCUUUCAUCGUGGAGUAUGAAUAAUAACACGGUAAA